This 355-nucleotide ribosomal RNA is filed under the name uncultured eukaryote. RNAcentral describes it as "SSU rRNA". It matches the Rfam family "Eukaryotic small subunit ribosomal RNA", at positions 594 to 945 of the family's 1831-position model. The record is from RNAcentral.
AUAGCGUAUAUUAAAGUUGCUGCAGUUAAAAAGCUCGUAGUUGGAUUUCUGGCCUGAAACAUUUUGCCGGCCACGGUUUCGUGUGUUAGUGCUUUGUGUUCUGGCCAUCCUUCCAAUCGCUAUUCAGCUUUCUUCAUUGAUUGUUGAGUGGUAUUGGAUCUUUUACUUUGAAAAAAUUAGAGUGUUUCAAGCAGGCUUUAUGCUAUGAAUACAUUAGCAUGGAAUAAUAAUUUAGGACUUCGGUUCUAUUUUGUUGGUUUCUAGGACUGAAGUAAUGAUUGAUAGGGAUAGUUGGGGGUGCUAGUAUUCAGCGGCCAGAGGUGAAAUUCUCGGAUUCGCUGAAGACUAACUUAUG